Molecule: long non-coding RNA, 1284 nt
Organism: Anopheles merus
Lineage: Eukaryota; Metazoa; Arthropoda; Insecta; Diptera; Culicidae
Exons: 2
Source: RefSeq, a predicted model, not a curated record
GAAGGCUAUAGGAAGCUAUCGCACCGGCACGUCAGCUCAUUUCGUGUCGAAACGUGGUCGAAGUCACAUUGCUCUGCGGGGUGGAACGAUGUCACCUAGAGUGCCUACGUCGUCGUCGUUGGAUCUGUUCGGCAAGGGAAGCAGCGGUGGUCAUGUCACCACAUCCAACCAGCCAACCAACGUCGGGAAGCUGGUUUCGUUGUGACACCAAAGUGACUGUAAAUAUUAACCCAGCAAGCCCAUCUUUUGCUCAUCGAUCCGGGCACACGGACGCACAGACGGACGGGCGGAUGGACCCGCAACGCAUCAGCUUCACGUGCGCGCAACGCUCAGCGGCCCAACUGAGUGGACCGAGCAGAGGGUCCGUGACCGAUCUUGUUUGUGUUAACAGUACAGUUUGCGCUUCGAUCGUUCGGAUAGGUUGCCAUUAAGAACAACCUGAGGGCGGCCACGUUUUCUGCGGGUUGCAAAGAUGGUACAGAGUACGGUACAGGAGGGCUGCGGGAUUACAUCCCAAACGUGCGAUGACGUAAGCGGUCAAUACUUCAUUGUACGCAUAGUGCAGACACCUGUAACAGUAGCUUUCGGUGGUGGUGACGACGGUUGCCAAGUUCGAUCGUACCAGGAUCGCAAUCGAAUAUGAAAAUAAAGAGAGCUAUCCGUCGACAGUAGGGAUAUAAUUCACUGUCAUGGAAUUGCUCUCUUUAUGUACAAUUCGAUAUUCAACGUGCAACGUGCCAGAGGUGUCAACGUUGCGUCAUUAAAGGGGGGGGGGGGUCGUCUUCAUCUCUCGAAUUGCUGGACCAUGCCAUGUGACCGCCAUAUGACGCAGAAGAAGAAUUCCGCAUUUAUUGCACCUCAAAUUUGAUAAAAAUCUAUUUCCUAUAUAGCGGAUGGACAGAUGAUAGCAGCUUAAUGAUGACCUUAGUUUUAUUUCUCCCAAAAUGAAAGCACACGUGCUCUCGUCACUCCAAUUAUUGUGUAGGUAUGCGAUCGGCCAUUACUGUGACUUUCCUUCCCACGUGUACCGGGGAGCAAGAAGAAGAAGAAAAAACAUAGCAAACAACAAUAAAUUCAUAUUUUUCCCUGGCUCGUUUAGUUCAACAAGUUUGUAAGCACUUAAAAUAUCAUUUAUUUCAACCGCACACAAUCCACUCUCGUUACGACGUGAGGGUACCCCCGGGGAGAGGUAUUACAAUGUGAGUUGAUUGUAUGGCAAAAAAAGAAAGAGAGAGAGAGAGAGAGAGAGAGAGAGAGAGAGAGAGAGAGAGAGAGAGAGAGAGA